This 87-nucleotide transfer RNA is filed under the name Sinimarinibacterium sp. NLF-5-8. RNAcentral's name for it is "tRNA-Leu". It matches the Rfam family "tRNA". Rfam says of the family: Transfer RNA (tRNA) molecules are approximately 80 nucleotides in length. The record is from RNAcentral. Lineage: Bacteria; Pseudomonadati; Pseudomonadota; Gammaproteobacteria; Nevskiales; Nevskiaceae.
GCUCGUGUGGCGGAAUCGGUAGACGCAAGGGACUUAAAAUCCCUCGGGCGAAAGCCUGUCCCGGUUCGAUUCCGGGCGCGAGCACCA